Molecule: long non-coding RNA, 136 nt
Organism: Lagopus leucura (white-tailed ptarmigan)
Lineage: Eukaryota; Metazoa; Chordata; Aves; Galliformes; Phasianidae
Exons: 3
Source: RefSeq, a predicted model, not a curated record
GCAGGUCACAGAAGCUGUCACCUUUCUCCUGCUUAGGCAUACUUUGUUCAAGGCCUUGUUUCAUGUCAGGAUGGACCCAUAAGCAAGGAGUUUAUGCAAUGACUGAAGCAUCAGACUGAGUCCUGCUUGCAUAUCU